AGGUUGCGGGUGGCAUGAAAUGAGCGAUUAUAAUAUACCAAAAAAGAUGACACUCCUCUUGAUUGGUCCUAGAGGAUCUGGAAAAAGUAGUCUUGUUAACAAGAUUUUGAGGGUGUUUGAGGAUGAUCCUUUUACACCAGAAAGGCAUGUUCCAACCAUCUGAUACAUCGAACUCACUCGACCACUUCGAAUCAGAUUUCGCAGAAUCUCCAUCAGGCUUCAAAGAUCGAGUGUGAUCCAGAGUCUUAUAAGUGUUCUUGCUGGUGUGAUCCAGAGGAUUCUGAUGAUGCACAUCUGACAUCUAAAGCUCACCGAAAUAGUUGCCACUGAGACCAAGGUGGUUAAUUUUGUCAUAUUUGUUGUCAGUGCGGUCCAAUUCUGCACUUAAUGGAUAGUGACGAUGAAACAGAGAGGCAACAAACUCAAGCUGUUGCUACAACUUUCAACAGCCCUCUCUUGUCACUCAAAGAAAGUGAUGAUUUAGGAACUAAGUGGACUAUACUCAACAUGCAUCGUUAUUGCCUUGAGCACACUGAUAAAAACCUACCCUUCAAAAAGAUCUACCUGCCAAAGGCCCAUUUAGUAGCAAGGCAACUCUAUUAAUAUUUGUGGGAGUGGUGCUGAUCUUGAUGGAUUUUCAUUUUCAUAGGCACGGUUGAUUCUGUAACCCUGAGGUAAACAUAGACUGGAAUGCAACUGUUGUUGGUCCUGAGGUAUUGCAACCACAUGUAAACAUAGGUGGUCAUGCAAAUGGUGUUGAUUCUGUUUGCGAUCUUCACAAUGAGACGUCUCAAUCAGAUGUAAACAUACAGUGGGUUGCAAUUUGGCGUGCAAUUCGACACUUACUGUGUGGCGAUGUUCACUGAUGAGCUCGGAUGUAAUGAGGUUGAUGCAUUUGUCUAUAGCUGUUAUGUUCCCCAAAUGCAAUGUUCUCUCUGUAUAAACAGCAGCAGUAGAACUCUCUUCUUGCAUGUAUAGGACUUAUCAGCAAUGAUUCUCUUACUAGGACAACUGACAUUCAUUUGUAAAGUUGAUAACUAUGAGGAGUGGCGGAGAUAAGAUUUUCACUAAGGGGUUGAAAAUCUAAAAAGUAAAUAUGUGAUGAAGCCAAGGGGUUUCAGCAUUUACUAGUAUAUACUAUAUAUAAAU
Molecule: long non-coding RNA, 1149 nt
Organism: Nicotiana tabacum (common tobacco)
Lineage: Eukaryota; Viridiplantae; Streptophyta; Magnoliopsida; Solanales; Solanaceae
Source: RefSeq, a predicted model, not a curated record